RNAcentral lists this ribosomal RNA (497 nucleotides) under uncultured bacterium. Its description in RNAcentral is "partial 16S ribosomal RNA". It matches the Rfam family "Bacterial small subunit ribosomal RNA", at positions 28 to 507 of the family's 1533-position model. The record is from RNAcentral.
GAUGAACGCUGGCGGCGUGCCUAAUACAUGCAAGUCGAGCGAACGGACGAGAAGCUUGCUUCUCUGAUGUUAGCGGCGGACGGGUGAGUAACACGUGGAUAACCUACCUAUAAGACUGGGAUAACUUCGGGAAACCGGAGCUAAUACCGGAUAAUAUUUUGAACCGCAUGGUUCAAAAGUGAAAGACGGUCUUGCUGUCACUUAUAGAUGGAUCCGCGCUGCAUUAGCUAGUUGGUAAGGUAACGGCUUACCAAGGCAACGAUGCAUAGCCGACCUGAGAGGGUGAUCGGCCACACUGGAACUGAGACACGGUCCAGACUCCUACGGGAGGCAGCAGUAGGGAAUCUUCCGCAAUGGGCGAAAGCCUGACGGAGCACCGCCGCGUGAGUGAUGAAGGUCUUCGGAUCGUAAAACUCUGUUAUUAGGGAAGAACAUAUGUGUAAGUAACUGAGCACAUCUUGACGGUACCUAAUCAGAAAGCCACGGCUAACUACGUG